Molecule: ribosomal RNA, 884 nt
Filed under: uncultured eubacterium HdEPI2
Lineage: Bacteria; Pseudomonadati; Pseudomonadota; Betaproteobacteria
Description: partial 16S ribosomal RNA
Rfam family: Bacterial small subunit ribosomal RNA
Source: RNAcentral
CAGCMGCCGCGGUAAUWCGUAGGGUGCAAGCGUUAAUCGGAAUUACUGGGCGUAAAGCGUGCGCANGCGGUUUUGUAAGACAGAGGUGAAAUCCCCGGGCUCAACCUGGGAACUGCCUUUGUGACUGCAAGGCUAGAGUACGGCAGAGGGGGAUGGAAUUCCNCGUGUAGCAGUGAAAUGCGUAGAUAUGCGGAGGAACACCGAUGGCGAANGCAAUCCCCUNNGCCUGUACUGACNCUCAUGCACGAAAGCGUGGGGAGCAAACAGGAUUAGAUACCCUGGUAGUCCACGCCCUAAACNAUGUCAACUGGUUGUUGGGUCUUCAUUGACUCAGUAACGAAGCUAACGCGUGAAGUUGACCGCCUGGGGAGUACGGCCGCAANGUUGAANCUCAAAGGAAUUGACGGGGNCNCGCACAAGCGGUGGAUGAUGUGGUUUAAUUCGAUNCAACGCGAAAAACCCUACCCACCUUUGACAUGGCAGGAAUCCUUUAGAGAUAGAGGAGUGCUCGAAAGANNACCUGCACACAGGUNCUGCAUNNCUNNCGNCAGCUCGUGUCGUGAGAUGUUGGGUUAAGUCCCGCAACGAGCGCAACCCUUNCCAUUACUUGCUACGAAAGGGCACUCUAAUGGGACNNCCGGUGACAAACCGGAGGAANGUGGGGAUGACNNCANNUCCUCAUGGCCCUUAUAGGUGGGGCUACACACGUCAUACAAUGGCUGGUACAAAGAGUUGCCAACCCGCGCGGGGGAGCUAAUCCCAUAAAGCCAGUCGUAGUCCGGAUCGCAGUCUGCAACUCGACUGCGUGAAGUCGGAAUCGCUAGUAAUCGUGGAUCAGCAUGUCACGGUGAAUACNNUCCCGGGUCUUGYACACACCGCCCGUC